RNAcentral lists this ribosomal RNA (19 nucleotides) under Planoglabratella nakamurai. RNAcentral describes it as "partial large subunit ribosomal RNA". The record is from RNAcentral. RNAcentral also lists the same sequence under 1 other name. Lineage: Eukaryota; Foraminifera; Rotaliida; Glabratellidae.
GCACAUCAGCUCGAGUGAG